UUCGAUGUAUCUUCAAUCUUCUAUGAUCGUAUCAGCUCCGGACACGAACUGGUUUCAGAGAUUCUGUCUGAAAGCCAAGCAUGCGGUUGAAUGUCUCAGACCAGUUUACCGGAUUUUUUCUUGGUCUAGUUAAAGAGAUGUGUUUUAGAAAGGGUGAUUCCGGUUUGUAAAUGUGUAAAUACUGUAUGAUAUAUAAUAUAGAUAAUCAAAUAAAAUUUCAAAGCCUUUUUUUCACAUCAAUCUAAAAUAUGAGAGAAACGAUCUAUAAACAUCAUUAUACCAUCGUAGAAUUAAGCAUCAUACAAUAAUUAACGUUUUUUAUUAGCUCGUUUGGAAGAAGACCACAACGUUUCUUUUCUCAGAUCUUCUGGAGCUUUUGUGUCCACAAACGGCUGCAAAAAAAAAGAGCAAAUUCGAAAAUAAUGUUACAACACCAGCAGGACCGAUAAUUCAUAUGUUAUUAAAUACUUAAAAUGUGGAGGCCAAGGUGGGAUGUCUCAUUCAACUAUACUCAGACCGGCCUUGAACACCAGUCUCAGCCUAAGCACAGUUUGUUUUGCUAUUGGGUUUCACCGAUGUUAAUUCCAGCUAGAAAAGUGUUUUGAUUAGUUCAUUAAUCCAUUAGCCUAAUGCUUUGAUUCGUGCUUUAGUGUCCCCUUCACAAUGAAUGCAGAUUGUGAAAAUAACUAGACAACAUUCAUGAAUCUUUCAUUCGAAACUAAGAAUCAGAAUGGAUGUUUAGAUCAAUUAACUGAAUCUCUAAUCUCUCAAUUAGUUAAAAUGUGUGAAGCUGAUUUGAUGUUGCAGAAGAAAGGUGGGGGGAGAUUAGAGAAUUACUUCGACUAGGAUAGAAUUUUGCCGGUGGAGUAGGCAUUUCUUGCGGCGGAUCUUCGGGAUUGAUUUAAGAUUUCUUCCGCCAUUGAUGGAAUUUCAGGUUUCUUUUCCACACAACUGCUGAUCACUUACCAUUCGUUUUUUCCUUUCUUCUAGACACC
Molecule: long non-coding RNA, 995 nt
Filed under: Brassica rapa (field mustard)
Lineage: Eukaryota; Viridiplantae; Streptophyta; Magnoliopsida; Brassicales; Brassicaceae
Description: long non-coding RNA (BRAP_LNC005944)
Source: RNAcentral